This 253-nucleotide ribosomal RNA is filed under the name uncultured prokaryote. RNAcentral's name for it is "partial 16S ribosomal RNA". It matches the Rfam family "Bacterial small subunit ribosomal RNA", at positions 525 to 777 of the family's 1533-position model. The record is from RNAcentral.
ACGUAGGUGGCAAGCGUUGUCCGGAAUUAUUGGGCGUAAAGCGCGCGCAGGCGGUCCUUUAGGUCUGAUGUGAAAGCCCACGGCUCAACCGUGGAGGGUCAUUGGAAACUGGGGGACUUGAGUGCAGAAGAGGAAAGUGGAAUUCCCGGUGUAGCAGUGAAAUGCGUAGAGAUCGGGAGGAACACCAGUGGCGAAGGCGACUGUCUGGGGAGCAACUGACGCUGAGGCGCGAAAGCCAGGGUAGCAAACGGGA